AGGGUUUGAUCAUGGCUCAGGACGAACGCUGGCGGCAUGCCUAACACAUGCAAGUCGAACGAGAAAGUUCCUUCGGGAGCAAUUAAAGUGGCGCACGGGUGAGUAACGCGUAGACAAUCUGCCCUUCAGUCUGGGACAACUUUUCGAAAGGAGAGCUAAUACCGGAUAACAAUGCAUGACACAAGUUGUAUAUUUGAAAGCUUUAUGUGCUGAAGGAGGGGUCUGCGUCCCAUUAGCUAGUUGGUAGGGUAAAGGCUUACCAAGGCAACGAUGGGUAGCGGGUUUGAGAGGACGAUCCGCCACACUGGAACUGAGACACGGUCCAGACUCCUACGGGAGGCAGCAGUGGGGAAUAUUGCACAAUGGAGGAAACUCUGAUGCAGCAAUGUCGCGUGAGUGAAGAAGGCCCUUGGGUCGUAAAGCUCUUUUAUGGGGGAAGAUGAUGACGGUACCCCAAGA
RNAcentral lists this ribosomal RNA (459 nucleotides) under uncultured bacterium. Its description in RNAcentral is "bacterial SSU rRNA". It matches the Rfam family "Bacterial small subunit ribosomal RNA", at positions 8 to 485 of the family's 1533-position model. The record is from RNAcentral.